ACCCGCUGAACUUAAGCAUAUCAAUAAGCGGAGGAAAAGAAACCAACAGGGAUUGCCCUAGUAACGGCGAGUGAAGCGGCAACAGCUCAAAUUUGAAAUCUGGCGUCUUUGGCGUCCGAGUUGUAAUUUGCAGAGGGCGCUUUGGCAUUGGCAGCGGUCCAAGUUCCUUGGAACAGGACGUCACAGAGGGUGAGAAUCCCGUACGUGGUCGCUAGCCUUUACCGUGUAAAGCCCCUUCGACGAGUCGAGUUGUUUGGGAAUGCAGCUCUAAAUGGGAGGUAAAUUUCUUCUAAAGCUAAAUACUGGCCAGAGACCGAUAGCGCACAAGUAGAGUGAUCGAAAGAUGAAAAGCACUUUGGAAAGAGAGUUAAAAAGCACGUGAAAUUGUUGAAAGGGAAGCGCUUGCAGCCAGACUUGCCUGUAGUUGCUCAUCCGGGUUUUUACCCGGUGCACUCUUCUAUAGGCAGGCCAGCAUCGGUUUGGGCGGUUGGAUAAAGGUCUCUGUCAUGUACCUCUCUUCGGGGAGAACUUAUAGGGGAGACGACAUGCAACCAGCCCGGACUGAGGUCCGCGCAUCUGCUAGGAUGCUGGCGUAAUGGCUGU
This 603-nucleotide ribosomal RNA is filed under the name uncultured fungus. RNAcentral describes it as "eukaryotic LSU rRNA". It matches the Rfam family "Eukaryotic large subunit ribosomal RNA", at positions 23 to 641 of the family's 3401-position model. Lineage: Eukaryota; Fungi. The record is from RNAcentral.